AAGAAAGUGCUAAUGCAGUCUAGUGCAGGAACAGAAAACAAACUACAAUAUAAGAAAUUAUUGUGCUUUCUAUCAUCUCGGAGAAGUUAUCACGAUUAAAAACUCCAAAUUGAUUUUAGAAUUAGAAUUGCCAAAGAAAAAAUUUGUGUUUUACGAUUAUCCUGAAGGGAGAAAAAAUGAUAAUAUUGUCACCUUUUGCAGUGUUAAAUAUUGCAAGCAGAAACAUUUCAAUCCCUGUGAAUCAAAUAAUUAAAUUGAAUCCAAUUGAGUCGAUUGAGAGUAAUGGACAACAGCGAGAUAGAAAGACAAACUAUGAUGGAGGAUAAACCAUCACGUUGCAUACACGUUUACAACAAACGUGAGGUAGGACACAUCGGUGAUAGAAUUUAGUUGUAUAAAGGACAA
This 405-nucleotide unclassified non-coding RNA is filed under the name Acromyrmex echinatior (Panamanian leafcutter ant). Its description in RNAcentral is "39S ribosomal protein L14, mitochondrial-like, transcript variant X1". Lineage: Eukaryota; Metazoa; Arthropoda; Insecta; Hymenoptera; Formicidae. The record is from RNAcentral.